GAUGAACGCUAGCUACAGGCUUAACACAUGCAAGUCGCGGGGCAGCAUGGGGGUUGCUUGCAACCCCUGAUGGCGACCGGCGCACGGGUGAGUAACGCGUAUCCAACCUGCCCUUCACCACGGGAUAACCCGGCGAAAGUCGGACUAAUACCGUAUGUUGUCCAUUGACGGCAUCCGAUUUGGACGAAGGGCGUGGGGGGGAAGGGAGGGGGGUGCGGUCGAUUAGGUUGACGGGGGGGGCACGGCCCAGCGUGGGUACGAUCGGUUGGGGUUCUGAGAGGAAGGUCCCCCACAAUGGAACUGAGACACGGUCCAGAAUCCUACGGGAGGCAGCAGUGAGGAAGGUUGGGCAAUGGGCGUAAGCCUGAACCAGCCAAGUAGCGUGCAGGAGGACGGCCCUAUGGGUUGUAAACUGCUUUUAUGCGGGGAUAAAGUGGCCAACGUGUGGGCUUUUGCAGGUACCGCAUGAAUAAGGACCGGCUAAUUCCGUG
This 491-nucleotide ribosomal RNA is filed under the name uncultured bacterium. RNAcentral's name for it is "partial 16S ribosomal RNA". It matches the Rfam family "Bacterial small subunit ribosomal RNA", at positions 28 to 507 of the family's 1533-position model. The record is from RNAcentral.